Molecule: ribosomal RNA, 414 nt
Filed under: Triticum aestivum (bread wheat)
Lineage: Eukaryota; Viridiplantae; Streptophyta; Magnoliopsida; Poales; Poaceae
Description: partial small subunit ribosomal RNA
Source: RNAcentral
AUGGUUAAAAUAGAUCUUGCUAAGGCUUUCGAUAGGAUCGAAUGGGAUUUCAUUGUUAAAGCUCUAACCCGUCGAGGGUCGCAUGGUCAUUUCAUAAAUUUAAUUUAUGCGUGCAUGGCUAAUCCCACUUUCUCUGUUAUCAUUAAUGGUCAAUCCUAUGGGCGUUUUCAGAGUAGUAGGGGUAUUAGACAGAGUUGCCCUUUGUCCCCCUACUUAUUUGUUUUGGCCAUCAAUGAGUUGUCAAUUUCUUUACAGGAAGCCAUGUGCACUGACCAUUUAUCAGGAAUCAAGUUAGGACCAGGAUGUCCUUCUAUUCACUCACUAAUGUUUGCUGAUGAUUUACUGAUUUGUGGACAGGCUAUAAUUGCAGAAGCUACUCAUAUGCUCCAAAUUCUGCAAAGAUUUUGCAAUUUU